Molecule: ribosomal RNA, 781 nt
Filed under: Kluyveromyces marxianus
Lineage: Eukaryota; Fungi; Ascomycota; Saccharomycetes; Saccharomycetales; Saccharomycetaceae
Description: LSU rRNA
Rfam family: Eukaryotic large subunit ribosomal RNA (bases 89-781)
Source: RNAcentral
UUGGGUCAAAGAGACUCAUAGGUGUUAUAAAGACUCGCUGGUGUUUGUCUCCUUGAGGCAUACGGCUUUAACCAAAACUCUCAAAGUUUGACCUCAAAUCAGGUAGGAGUACCCGCUGAACUUAAGCAUAUCAAUAAGCGGAGGAAAAGAAACCAACCGGGAUUGCCUUAGUAACGGCGAGUGAAGCGGCAAAAGCUCAAAUUUGAAAUCUGGCGUCUUCGACGUCCGAGUUGUAAUUUGAAGAAGGCGACUUUGUAGCUGGUCCUUGUCUAUGUUCCUUGGAACAGGACGUCAUAGAGGGUGAGAAUCCCGUGUGGCGAGGAUCCCAGUUAUUUGUAAAGUGCUUUCGACGAGUCGAGUUGUUUGGGAAUGCAGCUCUAAGUGGGUGGUAAAUUCCAUCUAAAGCUAAAUAUUGGCGAGAGACCGAUAGCGAACAAGUACAGUGAUGGAAAGAUGAAAAGAACUUUGAAAAGAGAGUGAAAAAGUACGUGAAAUUGUUGAAAGGGAAGGGCAUUUGAUCAGACAUGGCGUUUGCUUCGGCUUUCGCUGGGCCAGCAUCAGUUUUAGCGGUUGGAUAAAUCCUCGGGAAUGUGGCUCUGCUUCGGUAGAGUGUUAUAGCCCGUGGGAAUACAGCCAGCUGGGACUGAGGAUUGCGACUUUUGUCAAGGAUGCUGGCGUAAUGGUUAAAUGCCGCCCGUCUUGAAACACGGACCAAGGAGUCUAACGUCUAUGCGAGUGUUUGGGUGUAAAACCCGUACGCGUAAUGAAAGUGAACGUAGGU